CCUCUGUCUACAGAAGGGAACCAAUAAAGGACGAAUAUGUCCUCAGUCCUCUGAGAGGAGAAACAUGUUCCUAGCAUAGACUAGAAAUUACAUUUCAUUCUUUGUUCAGUUCCAGGUGUGGGGAGCACAUGGGCGGCAGAGGGAAGAAGGACUGAAAUGAGCCAGCCUUUGACAACUCUGACUCUGGAUGGUAAUUAAUACUUUUCACCAACCAACAUCAAAUAGAACCACAUCAAGACACCUAAGCAAACCUGAGCAGAGAGAAUCAAACCGCCCUUCAGAGAAUGAUCAGGAGAAAUGAGGGAAAUGCAAGAGGAUGAGAACCAGCUCCCUAACAAAUCCUGCACGGGACAUCAGCAGAAUUUUAGGCAUCUAAUUCCAAACUGGACUGCACUCCUGUUUUGUCCUCUUUGCUUCCACCAGUACCUUGUUUUGCUGUACAACAGAGCCAGUUCUUAUAGUGCUUCCAGCUCACGUCUGCCUGCCUAUUUCCAGAAACUUUGGCCCUUUUCAUAUUAGUAUAGUCCAAGCUUCAGUUGCUUUCCUUUUCACACAGCCUUAGCUUGGUCUUAUUCUUUCUAGCCAAGCAACUGUAGGGGUGGCCCUUCCCUUCAUCCUAAACAUGCUGCAUUCAAAUGGAUACUGAGGUUAUCGGGAAUGAAAAUCCUGUGAGUUUCAGCACAGGCUGUGAACAUCCUGUCACAUUUUCAGAAUUCUUUGUUUAUUUCUUAAAUUAAAAAAUAAAAACAAUUUUUUUUUUAUUUUUUAUUUUUUU
RNAcentral lists this long non-coding RNA (775 nucleotides) under Anas platyrhynchos platyrhynchos (common mallard). RNAcentral describes it as "lncRNA (ENSAPLG00000025188.1)". The record is from RNAcentral. Lineage: Eukaryota; Metazoa; Chordata; Aves; Anseriformes; Anatidae.